CAUGGGCUUUGCUAACGCUGGGACAUUGUGCACGAGCAGAAGGAAUUCCUCACCUCUUUUGGUGGUGGUGGGUUAUUUUGGGACCAAAGUUUGGUCCAAAGUCUGCCAUACUUCAUUUCUAAAUUUGAAUUUGUCCAACGGCAGGAGGAUCAGGGAUUUUUUUCAGCUCCUUUUUACCUCGAAUAAACCUGGCAGAACCGCUUGGUCCUUGUCGUGAACCUCGCAUGAAACCCAGGUUGUCUUAAAAUAACAUUUCAGCUUACAGAGCACUGUGCAGCUCUGAUUUAAAGAGGCUAAAACUCCUUGGGGUAAAUCUCCAGCCUUCAAAAUCUGGAGCUGGGUCUGAAGGAUUAUUUUGGGAGCCGCCUCGUGUAGUUCCGACAAGGGGUUGGAGCACAAUUUGUUUCCUAUCAGUAUUUUUUUUUAAGAAAAUGACAGGUUUGGAAUAGAUGCUGACCCCCUGGGUGUGCAGGAGGAACUGAUUUCGGCAUGUUCCCAGGGCAGCAAUUAAAGAGAUGUACCUAAAAUCCCAAAGAUGAACUUUUGUUGGGAUGCAGCAAGCCAGCAGCCCCUCCUGGGCUGGCAACGGGGCAGCUCAGCGGGGAAUAAUAACGAUAAUUACAGUAUUUAGCACCAAACUCCUACCUGGGGAGUCCAGGCUGGCUGUGAAGGGAAGCAGCAGCGAGAUUUUGCUGCCCUUGGUUCACCCCAAAGGAAAAAGGACUUUCUUUUUCUCAUCUAUUCCACCCUUUCUCUUUUCCUUCUUUGGUUUUUCUUUUUUAACUGACAGUGAAAAAUCCAGGAGGUGCUGGGGUGGGGAGCAGACUGCCCCACCUGGCUGAUGAGCUGAAGAGACAAGAUCCAAAGAUAACGUGCUAUUUCUGCUCAGUGAAAUGUUUUUGACAGGCUUCUAUUUCUGUUUACAUUGUAAAUAUUUAACCCCCCUUUUUAACCGUAAACAGGUACAUAGCCCUGACAGGUGAGGUAUGUAACACACUUCACGCACACAUCUUAAAACACUCAAUACUGGUGUUGUCUGAAGGUUGAUGAGGACCAAUAUUUCUCUUUGUCGUAGUCACCGUUCAGCCCCAUCUCGUUCCCAGCAGUUCCUCAAGAAGUGAGAAAUGCCCCUCACAGAAUCACAUGGGGUUGGAAGGGACCUCUGGAGAUCACCCAGUCCAACCCCCUGCCAGAGCAGGUCCACCCAGAGCAGGUCCCACAGGAACGUGUCCAGGUCUCCUCCAUUAGGUCCAAGCGGGGCUAAGGGGAUUUUUACCCCUGGAUUCCUCAAGGCUCUCGGAGCUCUGAAUGAAGUCUGCUGAAAUAAAGGAAAAACACCCAGGAAAACAAAAAAAAACUAUGGAGAGAGACACUGUGCCCUUGCAAGAUGCCCUGGGAGAAGCUCUCCUCACCUGCCCGAGAGGAAGACGUGGCUGCAGCCCUUCGGCCCCGACAUCCCUGAGGACUCCCCUGCUCUCCCUCGGUGAUUGCCCGGAGAGCCUGGGGUGGCUGCAGAACUGGGAACGCCUGAGCUGAGCCCCCAGUUUUCCCAGCUGGAGAAGGGGAUGGUUUUUCCCUGGAUGGAGAGGCUGGCUGAGAUUACUAGAAAGGCUGAAGGACCUCUGCAAAACAUCACGUCGAUGGUUAUCUCUUUCUCCCUCCUCUCUGCUUUAAACCUCUGGCAUCUGCCUGGCUUGUGGAGGGCUCUUAAGUGGAAAUGGGGAAUUCCUGGAGCCGCCAAACAGGAUGGGACACGUCUGUGGGGCACGUGGGUAUGGAGAAGCAGGGGAGCAAGCAAAUCUUGAGGGCAUCUCCCCGGCUCCUCCACCACCUCCAAACGCUCAGGAUGGCUCCCCAGGAGGAGGAAUGAGCUGCUGGAGGUGCCACCUGUGGGCAUGUGGCACUUGCCAAGAGCCGUGACACGCCGAUGUCCCCGUCCCCCCUCCGGGCUGGGUGGUGUUUCACCCUGGGAACGCAUCUGAUUUUCUAAAUGACACUAAUGGUUUCUUUGGAACCGGUACAGAUUAUUGUGUAAACAUCUUUUUGAGAGCAUUUUUUUUUUUUUAAUGCGCCUUAUUUAUCUGAUGGACCGUGGCAACUCCUGAAGCUCGCAGGGUUUCCUGCAGUGAAGAUCUAGAGGGUGGUGGGCGUUCGCUUCGCUGCGCUCCCCCCUUGUUGGUGCA
Calidris pugnax (ruff) is the source of this 2183-nucleotide long non-coding RNA. RefSeq lists it as uncharacterized. The record is from RefSeq and is a predicted model, not a curated record. NCBI's taxonomy places the organism in Eukaryota, Metazoa, Chordata, Aves, Charadriiformes, Scolopacidae. The transcript has 3 exons.